ACACCUGGGAAGCCUUUUCCAUCCUGGCCAAUUGUGAUGCUGAUGCUAAAAUACCUUCAUUGCUUAAUCCCAUCACUGCCAAUUGCUUCAAAUAGUGGAUGGAAUGGGCUAAAAAAAAAAAAGGCAUUUUGGAAACCGCAUAGCUGACUCUCUUUUUCUUUUAUUCAGUGAGAAAAUGAUGAAAACCACAGCCAACAGGAACCACACAGAUAGUGCAGGAACGCCCCACGUGUCUGGUGGGAAGAUGCUCAGUGCUCUGGAGUCCACGGUGCCUCCCAGCCAGCCUCCACUUGUGGGCACCUCGGCCAUCCACAUGAGCCUGCUUGAGAUGAGGCGGAGCGUGGCGGAACUCAGGCUCCAGCUCCAGCAGAUGCGGCAGCUCCAGCUGCAGAACCAGGAGCUGCUGAGGGCGAUGAUGAAGAAGGCCGAGCUGGAAAUCAGUGGCAAAGUGAUGGAAACAAUGAAGAGACUGGA
RNAcentral lists this small RNA (474 nucleotides) under Pongo abelii (Sumatran orangutan). RNAcentral describes it as "processed transcript". Lineage: Eukaryota; Metazoa; Chordata; Mammalia; Primates; Hominidae. The record is from RNAcentral.